RNAcentral lists this ribosomal RNA (253 nucleotides) under uncultured bacterium. RNAcentral's name for it is "partial 16S ribosomal RNA". It matches the Rfam family "Bacterial small subunit ribosomal RNA", at positions 524 to 776 of the family's 1533-position model. The record is from RNAcentral.
UACGAAGGGUGCAAACGUUGCUCGGAAUUACUGGGCGUAAAGCGUGCGCAGGCGGCCUUGCAAGACAGAUGUGAAAUCCCCGGGCUCAACCUGGGAACUGCAUUUGUGACUGCAAGGCUAGAGUACGGCAGAGGGGGAUGGAAUUCCGCGUGUAGCAGUGAAAUGCGUAGAUAUGCGGAGGAACACCGAUGGCGAAGGCAAUCCCCUGGGCCUGUACUGACGCUCAUGCACGAAAGCGUGGGGAGCAAACAGG